AUGGGAAACAUUACAGAAUGGGCACGAAGGCGCGUCCCUCAUUACCCCGUGUUACAGCCAAGUGUCUGCCUCCUGGGGAAGGAUCUGUUCUGUGGGGAGACUAGACGUUGAUGAUUUCCGGAUGUGUGAAGGGAAAUGCCCUCCGAGAAGCGUGGCUUAGGCCGGAGCACGUCAGACGAGAGUUAGUGUGGCAUGGAGUUUCCACAGUGCCCCUCAGACCUGCUACUUCUCUCCUCUCCCCACCCCUGGCCCUGACUCUUACCAAGGGAGGAAAGUUCAGCUCCAGUUGAGCCCCGCGCAGGGCUGUGGAUCUCUAGGGCAGGUGCCACCUUCGCCUGAAUAGGCUGUGUCAGAGGAGGGUCUGGCCGUACUUGAGCUGUGAGAGAUGCUCUCAGACAUCCAGCAUCCUGAAAACCCAGGUGCUGAAGGUUCCUCCUCCACCGUCCUGCGGGGAAGGGGGUCUUAUCCUGCUUCCCCUCAACCCGAGCUGACUUUUGUCUGUUCUGUACACCUAGUUUUUAAAACCAAUUAUUGUUAAUCAUCUAGCAGACAAACACCAUAAGGUGAGAGCCUGGGAGGGUAGAUGGGGCUGUGGAGGAUAGUUUCCUGAAUAAGUGUUCAGAUUCCUGUUUUGCCGUCAUUUGACCCAAGGCCUCCAGAUAAUUGAAAUAUUGUCAGGAAGACACCCAUUUUGUAUCUGAGGUUUUUUUUCAUGUUUGUUUUUGUUUUUGUUUUUGUUUUGUUUUAAAGGAAUGGGUGCAAACUUCUAACCAGGGACCUGACAAAAGAGAAGGAUUUCUUUUCAAAGUGAAGGUCGGGGAUGGUUGGCAUUUGCCAUCUGUGACUAGCAGGGACCCAGGCUGCUUCCCUCCUGCUGCCCGACUCCUGCCCCUCCAGCUCCUGUCCCUCCAGCUCCUGCCCCUCCAGCUCCUGCCCCUCCAGCUCUUGCCCCUCCAGCUCCUGCCCCUCCAGCUCUUGCCCCUGUUCCCACCAGCAGGAAGAGGAGCGGGAAGGUGCCUUUUCCCCUUUAAGGGGAUGAGAUUAAUGAGGAUGGGGACCGCUGCAGAACUGUAAGCCCCCCAGGGGCUGACGGAAGCCUGGGAACACCCGAGACACCAGAGUCGCUGCUGCCCUGGGUGGAAGGAUACCUGCCCUGGAAGAUGGGAAACGCAAUAAGGAGAAAGUACCAAGGUACGUGACGCUGUGAAAACGGAGAUGUUUUAAUUAAAUUAACAAUUAAAAUCAUUUUAAU
RNAcentral lists this long non-coding RNA (1252 nucleotides) under Macaca mulatta (Rhesus monkey). RNAcentral's name for it is "lncRNA (ENSMMUG00000057367.1)". The record is from RNAcentral. Lineage: Eukaryota; Metazoa; Chordata; Mammalia; Primates; Cercopithecidae.